GCCCGGAUGGUCUAGUGGUAUGAUUCGCGCUUAGGGUUCACCCAAAGCAUUAACUGCGCGAGGUCCCCGGUUCAAUCCCGGGUUCGGGCC
Molecule: transfer RNA, 90 nt
Filed under: Aspergillus parasiticus
Lineage: Eukaryota; Fungi; Ascomycota; Eurotiomycetes; Eurotiales; Aspergillaceae
Also listed under: 4 other names
Description: tRNA-Pro
Source: RNAcentral